AGAAAAGUUGUAAGAAAAAGGUGUAAAUAACAUAUUUUGGGUUGAAUGCCUUGUGAUGUAAAUGUGACUGAAAAAGAAUAUGAAUGUAAUAGUUUAAAUUUACUUGUGUUUGACUCAAAUGAAAUGAAAUAAUUUGUAUGUUGAAUGUUUAGUUAGUUUCGAUACUUUCACUUGUGAUUUAGUGGUUGUUUGCCCUCAUGCAAAUCUUGUAUAAUUGCAAUCGUUUGUAUUGAAUUGCUUGUAUUAUACAUGUUGUUGGAGUCUUGGGCGGAUGGGGGAGGUGCUGUCCGUUCGGCGUCUGUUCACGUGCC
RNAcentral lists this long non-coding RNA (311 nucleotides) under Ananas comosus (pineapple). Its description in RNAcentral is "long non-coding RNA (ACOM_LNC042450)". The record is from RNAcentral. Lineage: Eukaryota; Viridiplantae; Streptophyta; Magnoliopsida; Poales; Bromeliaceae.